Molecule: long non-coding RNA, 825 nt
Organism: Sesamum indicum (sesame)
Lineage: Eukaryota; Viridiplantae; Streptophyta; Magnoliopsida; Lamiales; Pedaliaceae
Source: RefSeq, a predicted model, not a curated record
GGAGAGUAAGGGUACUCCCGCUACGGCGUAGGAGCUGCUCUGCCUCAGCAAUCCGGAUCGAAAUGUAGAGGCGGCGGUUAACCCAACAAGAAAUGCAUAAAAGCCAGAAACAGAGGCAAAGGCGAAGCAGAAGCUUCUGAAGAGCAAAAGCAAAACCAUAGCUGCGCACGCGGUGCAAACACUCUUAACAUCUUGCUGCUUUUAUCCUUCAUUUCUUCGUCUGCCGUCGCCACGCCCAACGGAAGCGGUUACAAAAGGAGAAAGAUGGGUCGGUUGAGCGUGGCAAAGAGCAAACCAAGUGACACUUUGGUUGUGUUGCAAAUAAUUUAGUGUAUAUGAUAGAGAUUUUGGAUCUGCUACAGCUGCUACCUGCUAGAAGAGGCGAAUGACCCCAUUUUGAUAUGUACUGUUGCAUGAUCUUAUUACAAUAGAUUUGAUUUCAAAAUUAUUAUACUUACAAGUGUGAGAGAUGAUGAUUUUUGGUCACGAAGUUGCAUGUCUACAGGUGAAAAUCAUAAUCCUCAAUGGCCAAGUCUGCAAAUUUUUUGUGAUGGAACAAAUUGGGUCUUUUAUUUGUCAGAGAUGUAUGGAUAUUUUGGUGGCCAGCACUAUCAUGAAGCCAAUAUGAUAUUUAAGUUGGUUUUACUUUUUAUUAUGUUGAAGGAGACUCUGAGAGGUAUUGAUUGAAAUGAAAUAGUUACUGCUUAUCAUGAUUGACAUUAACUCGCUUUAGACUUCAAGAAUUACUUGGAAGCAUUAUCUGAAGUUUUGGUGCAUCCUUUCUAGGUGCCACAUUGAUAAUAAUAUGCAGAGAGUCGGUUUAUA